This 292-nucleotide ribosomal RNA is filed under the name uncultured bacterium. RNAcentral's name for it is "partial 16S ribosomal RNA". It matches the Rfam family "Bacterial small subunit ribosomal RNA", at positions 505 to 796 of the family's 1533-position model. The record is from RNAcentral.
GUGCCAGCCGCCGCGGUAAGACGAACCUUGCAAACGUUAUUCGGAAUCACUGGGCUUAAAGGGUGCGUAGGCUGUGCAGAAAGUUGGGUGUGAAAUACCUCGGCUUAACCGAGGAAUUGCGCCCAAAACUACUGUGCUCGAGGAAGAUAGAGGUGAGCGGAACUUAGGGUGGAGCGGUGAAAUGCGUUGAUAUCCUAAGGAACACCGGUGGCGAAAGCGGCUCACUGGAUCUUAUCUGACGCUGAGGCACGAAAGCCAGGGUAGCAAACGGGAUUAGAUACCCUCGUAGUCC